AGAGUUUGAUCCUGGCUCAGGAUGAACGCUGGCGGCGUGCUUAACACAUGCAAGUCGAACGAACCUUCGGGUUAGUGGCGGACGGGUGAGUAACGCGUGGGAAUCUGCCCUCAGGAGGGGGAUAACGGCUGGAAACGGCCGCUAAUACCCCAUAUGCCGAGAGGUGAAAAGAAAUUCGCCUAAGGAUGAGCCCGCGUCUGAUUAGCUAGUUGGUGGGGUAAGAGCUCUCCAAGGCGACGAUCAGUAGCUGGUCUGAGAGGAUGAUCAGCCACACUGGGACUGAGACACGGCCCAGACUCCUACGGGAGGCAGCAGUGGGGAAUUUUCCGCAAUGGGCGAAAGCCUGACGGAGCAACGCCGCGUGAGGGAUGAAGGCCUCUGGGCUGUAAACCACUUUUCUCAAGGAAGAAGACAUGACGGUACUUGAGGAAUAAGCCACGGCUAAUUCCGUGCCAGCAGCCGCGGUAAUACGGGAGUGGCAAGCGUUAUCCGGAACUAUUGGGCGUAAAGCGUCCGCAGGCGGCCCUGUAAGUCUGUCGUUAAAGCGUGGAGCUUAACUCCAUUUAAGCGAUGGAAACUACAGGGCUUGAGUGUGGUAGGGGCAGAGGGAAUUCCCGGUGUAGCGGUGAAAUGCGUAGAUAUCGGGAAGAACACCAGUGGCGAAGGCGCUCUGCUGGGCCAUAACUGACGCUCAUGGACGAAAGCCAGGGGAGCGAAAGGGAUUAGAUACCCCUGUAGUCCUGGCCGUAAACGAUGAACACUAGGUGUCGGGGGAAUCGACCCCCUCGGUGUCGUAGCCAACGCGUUAAGUGUUCCGCCUGGGGAGUACGCACGCAAGUGUGAAACUCAAAGGAAUUGACGGGGGCCCGCACAAGCGGUGGAGUAUGUGGUUUAAUUCGAUGCAACGCGAAGAACCUUACCAGGGUUUGACAUCCUGCGAAUCCCUUGGAAACGAGGGAGUGCCUUCGGGAGCGCAGAGACAGGUGGUGCAUGGCUGUCGUCAGCUCGUGUCGUGAGAUGUUGGGUUAAGUCCCGCAACGAGCGCAACCCACGUCUUUAGUUGCCAGCAUUCAGUUGGGCACUCUAGAGAGACCGCCGGUGAUAAACCGGAGGAAGGUGUGGAUGACGUCAAGUCAUCAUGCCCCUUACAUCCUGGGCUACACACGUACUACAAUGCUACGGACAAAGGGCAGCAAGCUCGCGAGAGUUAGCAAAUCCCAUAAACCGUGGCUCAGUUCAGAUCGUAGGCUGCAACUCGCCUACGUGAAGGAGGAAUCGCUAGUAAUCGCAGGUCAGCAUACUGCGGUGAAUACGUUCCCGGGCCUUGUACACACCGCCCGUCACACCAUGGAAGUUGGCCAUGCCCGAAGUCGUUACUCCAACCCU
Molecule: ribosomal RNA, 1386 nt
Filed under: metagenome
Description: bacterial SSU rRNA
Rfam family: Bacterial small subunit ribosomal RNA
Source: RNAcentral